RNAcentral lists this ribosomal RNA (450 nucleotides) under uncultured bacterium. Its description in RNAcentral is "bacterial SSU rRNA". It matches the Rfam family "Bacterial small subunit ribosomal RNA", at positions 355 to 825 of the family's 1533-position model. The record is from RNAcentral.
UAGGGAAUAUUGCACAAUGGGGGAAACCCUGAUGCAGCGACGCCGCGUGAGUGAUGAAGGCCUUCGGGUCGUAAAGCUCUGUCGUAUGGGACUAACAAAAUGAAGGUACCAUGCAAGAAAGGUCCGGCUAACUACGUGCCAGCAGCCGCGGUAAUACGUAGGGACCAAGCGUUGUUCGGAUUUACUGGGCGUAAAGGGCGCGUAGGCGGCAAUUCAAGUCAUCUGUGAAAUCUCCGGGUUUAACUCGGAACGGUCAGAUGAUACUGCUUUGCUAGAGUGCAGAAGGGGCAAUCGGAAUUCUUGGUGUAGCGGUGAAAUGCGUAGAUAUCAAGAGGAACACCUGAGGUGAAGACGGGUUGCUGGGCUGACACUGACGCUGAGGCGCGAAAGCCAGGGGAGCAAACGGGAUUAGAUACCCCAGUAGUCCCUGAGCGGGCUGGCAAGGCGCAU